GACGAACGCUGGCGGCGUGCUUAACACAUGCAAGUCGAACGGAAAGGCCUGCUUUCCCUUGUGGAUUGCGGGUACUCGAGUGGCGAACGGGUGAGUAACACGUGAGUGAUCUGCCCCCAACUUGGGUAUAAGCCUGGGAAACUGGGUCUAAUUCCCGAUAGGACUGCAGGGUGGUGCCUGUGGUGGAAAACGAUUUUCUAGUGGUUGGGGAUGAGCUCGCGGCCUAUCAGCUUGUUGGUGGGGUAAUGGCCUACCAAGGCGGCGACGGGUAGCCGGCCUGAGAGGGUGGACGGCGACAUUGGGACUGAGAUACGGCCCAGACUCCUACGGGAGGCAGCAGUGGGGAAUAGUGCACGAUGGGCGGAAGCCUGAUGCAGCGACGCCGCGUGGGGGAUGACGGCCUUCGGGUUGUAAACUCCUUUCGACCGCGAGGAAGCCACCUGGUUGGAAGGGUGGUGACGGUAGUGGUAGAAGAAGCACCGGCUAACUACGUG
RNAcentral lists this ribosomal RNA (494 nucleotides) under uncultured bacterium. RNAcentral describes it as "partial 16S ribosomal RNA". It matches the Rfam family "Bacterial small subunit ribosomal RNA", at positions 28 to 507 of the family's 1533-position model. The record is from RNAcentral.